GAUGACGUUUGGGAAGGCCCUGUACAAAAAGCAGCUUCCGCGUGACGUAGUUGAACAGUCAGCAUUCUUUCUUCGCUGUAGCUACCACCGUCUGAACCGUCGUGUUGCAACAUUGCCGAACCUUUUAGGUUAAUACACGAUUUUUCUAAUCUCAAUUUUCUAUUCUGUCUUUAUUUUUCUUCUCUUGGAGGACAAGACAAAAAUCACACUGACGUUCCUUUUGUGAAGGUCGCUCUUUCCUUCCCACUCCCGGAACAUUAUUCUUUUCAGAUAUACUUUGUCAAGCCGCCAAAGUGGAGAGUGUCGUUGCACAAGGGGGUCCUUCUCGUUUCAGUGUAGGGGGAGGAGGUGGGGGUGCACCUCAGCACUAUCCCAAGACUGUCGGCAACAGCGAGUUCCUGGGGAAAACCCCAGGUUCUAGCGUUCAGAGAUGGGUACCUUCUCGAAGCACUAGACGAGAUGCCAGCUCCUCC
Long non-coding RNA from Etheostoma spectabile (orangethroat darter), 473 nucleotides. RefSeq lists it as uncharacterized. The transcript has 4 exons. NCBI's taxonomy places the organism in Eukaryota, Metazoa, Chordata, Actinopteri, Perciformes, Percidae. The record is from RefSeq and is a predicted model, not a curated record.